This is a regulatory RNA element of 36 nucleotides. It matches the Rfam family "S16-Flavobacteria ribosomal protein leader". The record is from Rfam.
AUUAAUAACCGAGGUCGAGAACCUCAAAUAAUUAAU